GUAGGGUGCGAGCGUUAAUCGGGAAUUACUGGGGCGUAAAGCGUGCGCAGGCGGUUGUGCAAGACAGAUGUGAAAUCCCCGGGGCUCAACCUGGGAAUUGCAUUUGUGACUGUACGGCUAGAGUGUGUCAGAGGGGGGUAGAAUUCCACGUGUAGCAGCGAAAUGCGUAGAGAUGUGGAGGAAUACCGAUGGCGAAGGCAGCCCCCUGGGAUAACACUGACGCUCAUGCACGAAAGCGUGGGGAGCAAACAGGAUUAGAUACCCUGGUAGUCCACGCCCUAAACGAUGUCAACUAGUUGUCGGGUCUUAAUUGACUUGGUAACGCAGCUAACGCGUGAAGUUGACCGCCUGGGGAGUACGGUCGCAAGAUUA
RNAcentral lists this ribosomal RNA (372 nucleotides) under uncultured organism. Its description in RNAcentral is "partial 16S ribosomal RNA". It matches the Rfam family "Bacterial small subunit ribosomal RNA", at positions 527 to 896 of the family's 1533-position model. The record is from RNAcentral.